GUUGGUGUAGCUCAGUGGUAGAGUGCAUGUUUUGUAUGUAUGAUGUCCUGGGUUCAAUCCCCAGCUUCUCCU
Molecule: transfer RNA, 72 nt
Filed under: Dallia pectoralis (Alaska blackfish)
Lineage: Eukaryota; Metazoa; Chordata; Actinopteri; Esociformes; Umbridae
Description: tRNA-OTHER
Rfam family: tRNA
About the family: Transfer RNA (tRNA) molecules are approximately 80 nucleotides in length. Their secondary structure includes four short double-helical elements and three loops (D, anti-codon, and T loops).
Source: RNAcentral